Meriones unguiculatus (Mongolian gerbil) is the source of this 1887-nucleotide long non-coding RNA. RefSeq lists it as uncharacterized. The transcript is spliced from 3 exons. The record is from RefSeq and is a predicted model, not a curated record. NCBI's taxonomy places the organism in Eukaryota, Metazoa, Chordata, Mammalia, Rodentia, Muridae.
GACAAGGUAUUUUAUUCUCUGGUGCCCUAUCCAACAUAAAAUUGCUUUCUAAAACUCAAGAAGAUCAAGGGAAAGUGGAGAAGCCUGAGAGGACAAGGAGAGGAUGAAUGUCCUCUGAGAGCACUGCUACACUUGCGGAAAUGUUCCAAUGAGGGGCUGGACGGAUGGAUGGUCAGGUACAGUGCCGGCUUUUGGGAGUACCUACUGAGUCCCAGUCUCCAGCAUCCACAAAAGCCGGCUAGGUUUGCGUCUACAACCCCAGCCCAGAUGGAUUGAGAACCACUGAUGCAGCAGCACCAAGUUCAGUCUCCAACAUCCACAUCGUGGCUCACGAUCAUCUGUAAGUUUAGUUCUGACCUCUGGGGGCACCAGGCACACACGUGGUACACAGGUUCACCAGGCAACAAAACCUGCACUCAGAUGCCUAUCAAGCAAGGCGUUCAAGGCCCAGGUGAACAAAGCUCCUCAAAAGUGCUUUCCCAGCAUUUUCAUUUGAGGCUAUGUGUGUAGCUGACUCAAUGGAAAAAAUGUUUCUUGAGGGUUCAAUUCCCAGCAUCCAAAGAAAAGAACACAGCCUAGUCCCAUCACCUUGGCAUGAUUUAACAAUGACUCUGGGAAAAUGAAAAAGGCAAGAUACCAUAAUUUGCCAUUAAAAAAAAAAAAAAAAAAGGAAAAGAAGACGAAGAAAGAUGCAGUCAUUGCCAAAUGUGGUGGUGCAUGCCUUUAGGAAGAAAGCAAAGGUAAGCAGAUCAGCCUACAUGGCAAGUUCCAGGCCAGCCCUAACUACGUAGUAAGAGCCCAUCUCAAAACAAACAAAAGGACAGGAAAAAAAUGAUGGUAGUCUUAGAAGAUUACAGUAAAGCCUGUUUUUGCCCAGUAGCGCAAUAGCCAAAGCAACUAGGUGGUGAAACAGCAAAGUGUGUGAGGUGAUGCUAAGACGGCGGCUGCUGGGUGCAGAAAGGCUCAGCACCUCGGUGCUGCAGUGCCCCAUACCCAGCGAUAAUCAACAACGAUGCGACCCGCCUUUACUAAGCUUUCAGCAUUAUUCUACGGUGAACUCAUUCUGCCUGCAAGAAAAAGCACUGUAAACCACUCUGCUAGAGCAGGUGGUGGUGGCACAUGCCUUUAAAUCCAGCACUUGGGAGACAGAGGCAGGAGGAUCUAUGUGAGUUCCAGGCCAGCCUGUUCUACAUCCUGAGUUCCAGGAUAGCCAGGACUACACGAAAAAAACUCGGUCUCAAAAAACCAAAACAAAAAACCCUAAACAGUCUGCUAAGUUCUCUCAAUAGCAGCCUCACACAUCUUGAAUGGCUACCCUAGCUCUGGAUAUCAGCUCUUGGGUCUGAAUUGAUGGGGUGCUCUGUUCGUCCGGCCCUGGGAGCAACUGGCUGGCUAUUUUGUGUUUACCACAUAGCCUCGGUGUGCAGUGGGCUCUAGCACCAAAGUCUGGAUAGGUACCCACCGAUGCCCACAUAAGAAGGAAAUCCUCCAAUACCAAUUUCUUACAAUAGGUCCCUGUCAUUUCAAGACCCACAGCCACAGAGAAGCGGAGCACAUGCUGCCGUCUGGCUGGUUUGGGGAAUACACCAGCUUUCAUCUGGUGGGCGGAUGUGUUGUCACUCAACACAACAUUGCCUUCUUCUGAACUCACCCAAAGAUGUGCAGCCAAGGGGCAGUAAAGAAAAACUCACGAUCUUUGAAGUUUAUGUUUUUGUGUUAAGAGACUAGACACACCUUGCAAUGGACCACAGAGAGCACUCCCUUCCUUUACAAAGACCUGCUAGAUUUGGUUUAGUCCCUAAACAAGAGUCAGUUAGUCAAAAAGUGGCAGCAUUUGGGUACUCGAAAAGAAACGGGCUUUACGCAUAACGGAAAGGCUGCCCUACA